CAAUAAAGCAAUCUGUACUUGACAUCGAACGGUUUCCAAGAACAGGUGUGGACGAGCACACACUAAACAACUUUCUUGGAAGACUAGCACGUAGGCUUAGGCGUGCUGCAGCUCGGUGCGGUUGCGGUACUAGUGCUGCGAUGAAUGUGCAUGUGCCACAGGAACGACAAUGCAACACACCUGUUGUGCAUGGUACAUCUUCUUUGGGAGGAUCUGGAGGACAGAGCUCGUCUCGGCCAACUAUGGACACUUUUCAAAGCGAUGAUGAUGAGGACGAAGAGGGGGUGGCCGAGGAGCGUGACUAUGACGAGCUUGGGUUAUCUCAGCUUCCUGAUGCUCCUUCUACUCAGCCUACGCAGGUUGCAAGAAGGCGACGUCGUUCGCCUUGUAGGUACACUCCAGGCACCGAUGCUCUUGGCCACAAGGGUAAGGGUAAGACUAGAAGGCAGUGAGGAUGACUUCUGUGCUAACACCAUGGUAGCAGCUUAGAAUUGAUGGCAUAACUUCUGUUAUUUUGCAUGUAUCGACAUUGUGAACUUUGUGGACUAUUUGUACUAUAUGGGACUGUAUGGUCUCUGUGGACUAUCUGAACUAUCAUUCCUGAUGGCGUAUGUGCUUGUGUUGUGAUAUUUGGAUGAAUCAAUGUUUGUAUUGUACUGUGAUGUCUAUUUAUAACUGUGGAUGUACCAAAAAUAGGGGAAACUCUUGCAAAUUUUUUCCAUGAA
Molecule: long non-coding RNA, 725 nt
Organism: Sorghum bicolor (sorghum)
Lineage: Eukaryota; Viridiplantae; Streptophyta; Magnoliopsida; Poales; Poaceae
Exons: 3
Source: RefSeq, a predicted model, not a curated record